CAAGAAAUAGUUUAAUAAAAUAUUAAUUUUGGAGAUUAAAGAUGAUAAAUAAUUUCUUUCUUGA
RNAcentral lists this transfer RNA (64 nucleotides) under Paratenetus tropicalis. Its description in RNAcentral is "tRNA-Pro". RNAcentral also lists the same sequence under 1 other name. Lineage: Eukaryota; Metazoa; Arthropoda; Insecta; Coleoptera; Tenebrionidae. The record is from RNAcentral.